CCCUCAAUGCCCACCUGCAUAUAAUUGACACCACUAUUCAAUAACUGAUUAAAUGACCAAAUUAAAAACUUUUCUGGUAAGUGGUCCAGAUAACAACUGAGAAGCGAGAGGAAGCAAAAUACUUUUCAUUUAUAUCCCUUCCUAGACGAAAAAAAUAUACAUGUAUGUAUGCCUAUAGUCAUUCAACAAACAAAUGAUAACUUGGCUUCGCGUUCUUUCAGCUUUCCUUCGAAUCCACUCCACUAACGAAUAUGUAUCUUGGACUCAAAUAGAACUGAAACCAAACAUACCAAAAAGAUAAACAUCUCAACAAAGCAAAAGACCCCAUUACUCAAAUUAUACAAUAAACAACACUCAUCCAAAAGAAUCCACUAAAUCUCCAAAAUGACAAAACACAUCUACAGUUCUGCUAACGGGUUCGAAGAAUCUUGGCUCAGAGAGCCUCAGACCAUAUAUUUGUGUUAAAAGAUCCACUCAAUAUGUAUAAAUAAUUUAUUCCGAACAAAGCAUUCAAUAACCAUAAACUAAAAAUCCUAGCUCCACAUAUAUUAUUAAAUAUAAGGACAGAAACAUGAACGAAUGACUAAAAUGAGAAUUCUCGAGCAACAGAACCAAUGAAAUUAGAUCCAGGUUUGGUCAUACGAAUAACUAAAAAAAGAAACAAAGAAGAAUAACAGCACACCUGAGUGUAGACCAAGAAAAUCAAAUGGGAAGUUGGAAGUUGGAACCAAUACUAUUAACUACUGUAUAUGAAAGAAGAAGAGUUUGGCGUUAGUGGGUGUUGAGAUAACAGAACUGCAGAACCAAUUAAAAGACCAACUCAGUCAAAGAUCUGUGGAAUGUCAGUUAAAGUGUUUAGGUAACAAUUACUCCAACGACAGAGGAAGGAACGCUCUAUGCAUUAAAGAAAAAGGGAUUAUUUUAUUCUUUUCGGACAGUUUUUAAUGGGUUUUCCUCUGGGUUUGAAGCUAAUAUUUUCGAAUACCGAAAAGGACCCAAGAGCGCAUGUGAUGCAGAAUGGAAACACCGCAGAGUCUACACUUUUUUCAUGACACCCUUUUUAAGCUUUCUUUUUUUGUUUGUUUAGGAUUUGUUUAUUUUGAAAUUAAUCUGAGAUUCAUUCCCGCCCUUUAUAGACGAAGUGGUGUACUGUAGAAGGGAGUAUUUUUAAUAUUCAGUUAAGAAGGGAGAGUAAUAAUUUGAUGCACAGAAAAACUGACAGAGGUCUGUGCCUGAACUUCUACGCUUCCUCUGUAUGCUUUUUUUCGUCUUCUCUUGGUUCCUUCAAUAACAAGAUCUGCUUUAGAAAUUUGGAGUACCAUUUUGCAAAGGCCAAAUAAUGGUUUAUUUCUUUUCUCUUUGCUUGUUUCUCCACAGAGGCAAGUUUGCGUCAGGCCCUUACGAGCGAAGGCAUUAAAAAUUACCUCUUCU
This 1431-nucleotide long non-coding RNA is filed under the name Nicotiana tabacum (common tobacco). RNAcentral describes it as "long non-coding RNA (NTAB_LNC015735)". Lineage: Eukaryota; Viridiplantae; Streptophyta; Magnoliopsida; Solanales; Solanaceae. The record is from RNAcentral.